RNAcentral lists this non-coding RNA (148 nucleotides) under Homo sapiens (human). Lineage: Eukaryota; Metazoa; Chordata; Mammalia; Primates; Hominidae. The record is from Rfam by way of RNAcentral.
GCCAGGUGUGGUGGUGGGCACCUGUAAUCCCAGCUACUCGGGAGGCUGAGGCAGGAGAAUUGCUUGAACCCAGGAGGCGGAGGUUGCAGUGAGCCGAGAUCACACCACUGCACUUCAGCCUGGGCAACACAGCGAGACUCUGCCUCAG